ACAAAAACAUGUCUUUUUGGGUAAAAUUUAAAGUCGGGCCUGCCCACUGACGAUUAGUUGAAGGGCCGCGGUAUUUUGACCGUGCAAAGGUAGCAUAAUCAUUAGUCUUUUAAUUGAGGGCUAGAAUGAAUGGUUUGACGAAAUAUUAACUGUCUCUUUGUAAUUAAUAAAAUUUAACUUUUGAGUCAAAAGGCUUAAAUGAAUAUAAAAGACGAGAAGACCCUAUAGAUCUUUAUAUAAUGAAAUGGUUGUUUUAUUCAGAAGUAUUGUUUACAAUUAUUUUGUUGUAUUUUGUUGGGGUGACAUGAAGAUAAAAAUAACUCUUUAUAAUAGGAACAUUGAUUUAUGAAUAAUUGAUCCGUUAUUAACGAUUAUAAGAUAAAGUUACCUUAGGGAUAACAGCGUAAUUUUUUUUGAGAGUUCUUAUCGACAAAAAAGAUUGCGACCUCGAUGUUGGAUUAAGGAAUAUGAUUAGGUGUAGCAGUUUAAUUAAUAAGUCUGUUCGACUUUUAAAUCCUUACGUCAUCUGAGUUCAGACCCGGAA
Molecule: ribosomal RNA, 544 nt
Filed under: Anterastes disparalatus
Lineage: Eukaryota; Metazoa; Arthropoda; Insecta; Orthoptera; Tettigoniidae
Description: partial 16S ribosomal RNA
Rfam family: Bacterial large subunit ribosomal RNA
Source: RNAcentral